This 452-nucleotide ribosomal RNA is filed under the name uncultured bacterium. RNAcentral describes it as "bacterial SSU rRNA". It matches the Rfam family "Bacterial small subunit ribosomal RNA", at positions 335 to 795 of the family's 1533-position model. The record is from RNAcentral.
ACUCCUACGGGAGGCAGCAGUGGGGAAGUCUUGCGCAAUGGGCGAAAGCCUGACGCAGCCAUGCCGCGUGAAUGAUGAAGGUCUUAGGAUUGUAAAAUUCUUUCACCGGGGACGAUAAUGACGGUACCCGGAGAAGAAGCCCCGGCUAACUUCGUGCCAGCAGCCGCGGUAAUACGAAGGGGGCGUAGCGUUGCUCGGAAUUACUGGGGCGUAAAGGGAGCGUAGGCGGACAUUUAAGUCAGGGGUGAAAUCCCGGGGGCUCAACCUCGGAAUUGCCUUUUGAUACUGGAUGUCUUGAGUGUGAGAGAGGUAUGUGGAACUCCGAGUGUAGAGGUGAAAUUCGUAGAUAUUCGGAAGAACACCAGUGGCGAAGGCGACAUACUGGCUCAUUACUGACGCUGAGGCUCGAAAGCGUGGGGAGCAAACAGGAUUAGAUACCCUGGUAGGAUAGC